RNAcentral lists this ribosomal RNA (1248 nucleotides) under Candidatus Phytoplasma citri. RNAcentral describes it as "bacterial SSU rRNA". It matches the Rfam family "Bacterial small subunit ribosomal RNA", at positions 153 to 1399 of the family's 1533-position model. The record is from RNAcentral. Lineage: Bacteria; Bacillati; Mycoplasmatota; Mollicutes; Acholeplasmatales; Acholeplasmataceae.
GAAACAGUGGCUAAGACUGGAUAGGGAAGAUAAAAGGCAUCUUUUAUCUUUUAAAAGACCUAGUAAUAGGUAUGCUUUAGGAGGGGCUUGCGCCAUAUUAGUUAGUUGGUAGGGUAAUGGCCUACCAAGACGAUGAUGUGUAGCUGGACUGAGAAGUUGAACAGCCACAUUGGGACUGAGACACGGCCCAAACUCCUACGGGAGGCAGCAGUAGGGAAUUUUCGGCAAUGGAGGAAACUCUGACCGAGCAACGCCGCGUGAAUGACGAAGUACUUCGGUAUGUAAAGUUCUUUUAUCAAGGAAGAAAAGCAAAUGGCGAACCAUUUGUUUGCCGGUACUUGAUGAAUAAGCCCCGGCUAAUUAUGUGCCAGCAGCCGCGGUAAGACAUAAGGGGCAAGUGUUAUCCGGAAUUAUUGGGCGUAAAGGGUGCGUAGGCGGUCUAGUAAGUCAGUGGUGUAAUGGCAACGCUUAACGUUGUCCGGCUAUUGAAACUGCUAAACUUGAGUUAGAUAGAGGCGAGUGGAAUUCCAUGUGUAGCGGUAAAAUGCGUAAAUAUAUGGAGGAACACCAGAGGCGUAGGCGGCUCGCUGGGUCUUAACUGACGCUGAGGCACGAAAGCGUGGGGAGCAAACAGGAUUAGAUACCCUGGUAGUCCACGCCGUAAACGAUGAGUACUAAGUGUCGGGUUAAACCGGUACUGAAGUUAACACAUUAAGUACUCCGCCUGAGUAGUACGUACGCAAGUAUGAAACUUAAAGGAAUUGACGGGACUCCGCACAAGCGGUGGAUCAUGUUGUUUAAUUCGAAGAUACCCGAAAAACCUUACCAGGUCUUGACAUGUUUUUGCAAAAUGAUAGUAAUAUCGUGGAGGUUACCAGAAACACAGGUGGUGCAUGGUUGUCGUCAGCUCGUGUCGUGAGAUGUUAGGUUAAGUCCUAAAACGAGCGAAACCCUUAUCGUUAGUUGCCAGCACGUUAUGGUGGGGACUUUAACGAGACUGCCAAUGAUAAAUUGGAGGAAGGUGAGGAUCACGUCAAAUCAGCAUGCCCCUUAUGACCUGGGCUACAAACGUGAUACAAUGGCUGUUACAAAGGGUAGCUGAAACGCAAGUUCUUGGCCAAUCCCCAAAAACAGUCCCAGUCCGGAUUGAAGUCUGCAACUCGACUUCAUGAAGUUGGAAUCGCUAGUAAUCGCGAAUCAGCAUGUCGCGGUGAAUACGUUCUCGGGGUUUGUACACACCGCCCGUCA